ACAGAGGGGGCAAGAGUUAUUAGGAAUUAUUGGGCGUAAAGGGCGCGUAGGCGGUUUUUUAAGUGAGAUGUGCAAUCCCCGGGCUCAACCUGGGAACUGCAUCUCAGACUGGAAGGCUAGAGUGCUGGAGAGGGUGGUAGAAUUCCACGUGUAGCGGUGAAAGACGUAGAGAUGUGGAGGAAUACCAUGGGCGAAGGCGUCCACCUGGACAGCAACUGACGCUGAGGCGCGAAAUUGUGGGUAGCAAACAG
This 251-nucleotide ribosomal RNA is filed under the name uncultured prokaryote. RNAcentral describes it as "partial 16S rRNA". It matches the Rfam family "Bacterial small subunit ribosomal RNA", at positions 525 to 775 of the family's 1533-position model. The record is from RNAcentral.